This 484-nucleotide ribosomal RNA is filed under the name uncultured bacterium. RNAcentral's name for it is "partial 16S ribosomal RNA". It matches the Rfam family "Bacterial small subunit ribosomal RNA", at positions 30 to 507 of the family's 1533-position model. The record is from RNAcentral.
AUUGAACGCUGGCGGCAGGCCUAACACAUGCAAGUCGAGCGGAUGAAGGGAGCUUGCUCCUGGAUUCAGCGUCGGACGGGUGAGUAAUGCCUAUGAAUCUGCCUGGUAGUGGUGGAUAACGUCCGGAAACGGGCGCUAAUACUGCAUACGUCCUGAGGGAGAAACUUGGGGAUCUUCGGACCUCACGCUAUCAGAUGAGCCUAGGUCGGAUUAGCUAGUUGGUGGGGUAAAGGCCUACCAAGGCGACGAUCCGUAACUGGUCUGAGAGGAUGAUCAGUCACACUGGAACUGAGACACGGUCCAGACUCCUACGAGAGGCAGCAGUGGGGAAUAUUGGACAGUGGGCGAAAGCCUGAUCCAGCCAUGCCGCGUGUGUGAAGAAGGUCUUCGGAUUGUAAAGCACUUUAAGUUGGGAGGAAGGGCAGUAAGUUAAUACCUUGCUGUUUUGACGUUACCAACAGAAUAAGCACCGGCUAACUUCGUG